This 809-nucleotide ribosomal RNA is filed under the name Klebsiella pneumoniae. RNAcentral describes it as "bacterial SSU rRNA". It matches the Rfam family "Bacterial small subunit ribosomal RNA", at positions 719 to 1528 of the family's 1533-position model. Lineage: Bacteria; Pseudomonadati; Pseudomonadota; Gammaproteobacteria; Enterobacterales; Enterobacteriaceae. The record is from RNAcentral.
AGGCGGCCCCCUGGACAAAGACUGACGCUCAGGUGCGAAAGCGUGGGGAGCAAACAGGAUUAGAUACCCUGGUAGUCCACGCCGUAAACGAUGUCGAUUUGGAGGUUGUGCCCUUGAGGCGUGGCUUCCGGAGCUAACGCGUUAAAUCGACCGCCUGGGGAGUACGGCCGCAAGGUUAAAACUCAAAUGAAUUGACGGGGGCCCGCACAAGCGGUGGAGCAUGUGGUUUAAUUCGAUGCAACGCGAAGAACCUUACCUGGUCUUGACAUCCACAGAACUUUCCAGAGAUGGAUUGGUGCCUUCGGGAACUGUGAGACAGGUGCUGCAUGGCUGUCGUCAGCUCGUGUUGUGAAAUGUUGGGUUAAGUCCCGCAACGAGCGCAACCCUUAUCCUUUGUUGCCAGCGGUCCGGCCGGGAACUCAAAGGAGACUGCCAGUGAUAAACUGGAGGAAGGUGGGGAUGACGUCAAGUCAUCAUGGCCCUUACGACCAGGGCUACACACGUGCUACAAUGGCAUAUACAAAGAGAAGCGACCUCGCGAGAGCAAGCGGACCUCAUAAAGUAUGUCGUAGUCCGGAUUGGAGUCUGCAACUCGACUCCAUGAAGUCGGAAUCGCUAGUAAUCGUAGAUCAGAAUGCUACGGUGAAUACGUUCCCGGGCCUUGUACACACCGCCCGUCACACCAUGGGAGUGGGUUGCAAAAGAAGUAGGUAGCUUAACCUUCGGGAGGGCGCUUACCACUUUGUGAUUCAUGACUGGGGUGAAGUCGUAACAAGGUAACCGUAGGGGAACCUGCGGUUGGAUCACCU